Molecule: ribosomal RNA, 253 nt
Filed under: uncultured bacterium
Lineage: Bacteria
Description: partial 16S ribosomal RNA
Rfam family: Bacterial small subunit ribosomal RNA
Source: RNAcentral
UACGAGGGGGGCAAAUGUUGUUCGGAAUCACUGGGCGUAAAGGGAGCGUAGGCGCGUUUUUAAGUCAGGUGUUUAAUCCCGGGGCCCAACCCCGGACCGGCACUUGAAACUGGGAAUCUUGAAUAGUGGAGAGGUCAGUGGAAUUGGGGGUGUAGCGGUGGAAUGCGUAGAGAUCCCCAAGAACACCAGUUGCGAAGGCGGCUGACUGGACACAUAUUGACGCUGAGGCUCGAAAGCAUGGGGAGCAAACAGG